GAUGAAGAACGCAGUGAAAUGCGAUAAGUAGUUUGAAUUGCAGAAUUCAGUGAAUCAUCGAAUCUUUGAACGCACAUUGCGCCCCUUGGUAUUCCAUGGGGCAUGCCUGUUCGAGCGUCAUUUGUACCUUCAAGCUUUGCUUGGUGUUGGGUGUUUGUCUCGCCUUUGCGUGUAGACUCGCCUUAAAAUAAUUGGCAGCCGGCGUAUUGAUUUCGGAGCGCAGUACAUCUCGCGCUUUGCACUCAUAACGACAGCGUCCAAAAGUACAUUUUACACUCUUGACCUCGGAUCAGGUAGGGAUACCCGCUGAACUUAAGCAUAUCAAUAAGCGGAGGA
This 336-nucleotide unclassified non-coding RNA is filed under the name soil metagenome. RNAcentral describes it as "partial contains 5.8S ribosomal RNA, internal transcribed spacer 2, and large subunit ribosomal RNA". The stretch from base 1 to 120 matches the Rfam family "5.8S ribosomal RNA", at positions 35 to 154 of the family's 154-position model. The record is from RNAcentral.